Long non-coding RNA from Zophobas morio, 1790 nucleotides. RefSeq lists it as uncharacterized. The transcript has 3 exons. The record is from RefSeq and is a predicted model, not a curated record. NCBI's taxonomy places the organism in Eukaryota, Metazoa, Arthropoda, Insecta, Coleoptera, Tenebrionidae.
UUUUUCCAAAAAUUACUUGGCGACAACUUCCACAGCCAAUUUUAAGAAACAAUAAAAAAACUAAUGUCAUUUAUGAUUAGUAUAAAAGUGUCAUUUGUGUGAUUAUACGUGAUAACAAAGCGUAAAAUAUGAAACUAUGCAGUGUUUUGAAAUGUCUAAACACUAAAAUUAUUAAACGCCAUCGUUUUCCCAACCCCUACAAAUACAACGAGCGUUUUAAAAUUUGGUUGGAACGGACAGGAAAUCCAAAUUUAGGCAAAUUAGAUCCCACGAAAAUAUAUAAAAAUGGAUAUUUUCUUUGCGAUGUACAUUUUAAAGAAACGGAUUUUGGCCCCAAUCAAAAACUUAAAAAUACUGCCAUUCCUACAAUUCAAAUUAUGCAUGAUAAUAUGAACGACCCCGAAAGACACACCCAUGAUCCCGUAAACCCUAUUUCUAUACUGGAUUCUCAAAAAUUUUGUACUGAAGUAUCUCGAAAUUCCAGAGAAACCCUAAACGAAACUUUAAACCAAGAAUCUUCUCGAAUACUAAAUUUACAUUCAAAUUCUAGGAAUAUUUCGCGUACAGCCCGUAGAAACAAAAUUAAGGUAGCUUCGUAUCGCCAACGAUUGAAAUUAUACUCCAAAUUUGAAGUAAAAUUAGAAAGCAAAAUUUUAAGUCAGGAUGCUAUAAAUUUUUGUUUAUCACAAUUAAAAAGACGAAAUGUCAAACCAAAGGGUCGCAGGUUUACCACUGAAGAUAAAUUAUUUGCAUUAAUGUUUUAUAAACAGUCUGGGAGAUGUUAUAGAAAAAUGAGACAGAUUUUUGCACUGCCUUCACGUCAAACAAUUAUGUCUAUGUUGAACAAAAUUCCAGUAGACGUUGGUAUAAACAAAAUAAUUUUCGACAAUCUUAAAGAAUCUGCUUCAAAAUUAAAUAACCAAGAUAGAAUAUGUGCAUUAAUUUUUGAUGAAAUGUCCAUAAUGCCCCACAUAGACUAUGACAAAUAUACGGAUACAUUUUUCGGAUUUCAAAAUUUUGGAUUUGAACAAAAUUUACAGAUAGCAGAUCAUGUUCUUGUUUUUUUCAUUCGCGGAGUGUUUAAAAAAUGGCAACAGCCAAUAUACUUUGCAUUUUCUUUUUCGUCUACAAAAUCUUACAUAUUGACAACUAUUAUAAAAACUCUGGUUGAAAAAAUACAAAAUUGUGGAUUCAAAAUUCUGGUUACAAUUUGUGAUCAAGGCCAACCAAACCAAGCAGCUAUAAAUUCUCUGCUAAAGGAGUCGAAACAACGUUAUAUACAUAAAGGGAUGGAACCUAAAAGAAGAAUUUUAUUAGGGGAUCAAGAAAUUAUUCCCUUAUAUGACACGCCUCAUUUAAUUAAAUGUAUUAGGAACAAUCUGCUUACUAAAAAUUUAGUGUGGAAAACAAGCGAGGAAAUUUUGGUUGCAAAUUGGAAACAUAUAAUCGAUGCGUACUACAGUGAUCAAACAUGUGGAGAAUUACGGGCUCUACACAAAAUUACGGAUCUCCAUGUAAUUCCGGAAAAAAUUCAAAAGAUGAAGGUGUGCUAUGCGACACAAGUUUUGAGUCACUCAAUGGCAUCGACUAUUACGCUAUUGGUUAAAUCUACCGAAUGCAGUUUAACACACGAGGCAAUGGGAACAGCACGAAUUAUAAAAUUUUUUGACAAGCUCUUCGACAGUGUAAAUGGCAGUACUUUUCAACCACGGUGCGGAAAACCAUUUUCUGGGGGCGUAUUUAAAUCUUCUGGUCAUAAACAUUUUUGGAAGGAAGUUAUCAAAAUUUUG